This 2641-nucleotide long non-coding RNA is filed under the name Homo sapiens (human). Its description in RNAcentral is "HSALNT0255998". Lineage: Eukaryota; Metazoa; Chordata; Mammalia; Primates; Hominidae. The record is from RNAcentral.
GUCCGGGUCACCCGCUGAGGGUGUGGAACUUGGAUUCCCGACAACUGGGGUCUAGGGGCGGGAGUGGGGACUCCAGGAGCUUGCCCGUGGGAACUGGGAGCUGAGGAAUUGCCUAGGAAUCAGCACUGUGGAGAAUGAGGAAACGUGGAUAUCAGGAUUCCUGUUUGAGUGGUACCCGGACCUUGGGUCAUGGGACCACCACUAAUUGUGAGGAAAGGGAGUAAAUUUAAGUCUGGACUCUGAGCUAUAUGUGUUAGACUCAGACCACGUACUAUGUAAGGACAAUUACUUAUCUAGGACAAUUGCUUGACUUCCUUGUAUCUUAUUCGACCAACCUCCAUUUAUUGAGCAAUUUACCUCGUGCUAGGCAUUGUGCUAGGUGCUGGUAUGCAGUGGUGAGCUUACAGACAAGAUCGCUGCUUUCCUGGAGCCUCUGGGUUUGCCUACCCUCAUUUUCCCUAGUUGCAAAAAUAGACAUCAUAGCAUCUCUUGAUGUGGUGAGGGUUUUAUGAGGUGAUCCUGGAAAAGUGGUUAGCACAGAGCCUGUCUUCCAGGAAGGGCUAAACUGGUGGUUCUCAAUUGGGGCAGUUCCCUCCACCCCCACAUUUGGCAAAGUCUGGAGACAUUUUUGGUUGUCAGAACUGCGGGAGGGGGUGCUAGUGACAUCUAUGGGUAGAGGCCAGGGAUGCUGCUCAACUUCCUACCAUGCGUGGGGCAGCGCCCUCCCACCCCCAAACAAAGAAUAAUCCAGCUCAAAAUGUUAUUAGUGCCAGGUUGAGAAACUCUGGAUUAAGUAAAUAGGGCAUAUAUUGAUUUUUGGCUCUGAGCUUGCCAUGUCUGUGGUGUUAAGAUCAAGUCCCUGUAGUGUGGAGGAAAAAGUGUUGAGAAUAACAAGACUGGGGGCUCUAGUUCUGGAUCCAGCAUGUGAUUUUGGGCAAAUGAUCUAACCUCUGCAAGCCUCAGUUUCUUCAUUUGUUAAAAAUGGGCGUGGGUUGGGUGCAGUGGCUCACACCUGUAAUUCCAACAUUUUGGGAGGUCGAGGUGGGUGGAUCGCUUAAGCCCAGGAGUUGGAGACCAGCCUGGACAAUAUGGCAAAAAUGCAUCUCUACAAAAAAAAAUUAAAAAAUUAGCUGGGCAUGGUGCCACACAUGCCUGGAGCUCCAGCUACCCAGGAGGCUGAGACAGGAGGAUCGCUUGAGCCCAGGAGAUUCAGGCUGCAGUGAGCCAUGAUUGCACCACUGCGCUCUAGCCUGGAUGACAGAACAAGAGAGUAUCUUAAAAAAAAAAUCGGUGUGAAAUAAUCCCAGCAGGCCAGGCUCUGUGGCUCAUCCCUGUAAUCCCAGCACUUUGGGAGGCCGAGGCUGGUCUCAAACUCCUGACUUCAGGUGAUCUACCCGAUUCUACCUCCCAAAGUGCUGGGAUUACAGGCCUGAGCCACCGCGCCUGGUCAAAAAGGGGGUGGUUCUAACUUUCAUCUUAGGGUAGCUGUGAAAAUGAAAGGAGAUGAUACAUCCACAGCACUUGGCACAGGGCUUGGCAUACAGUACAUGCUCAAUAAAGGGAGCUGUUGCCACCUCUUGUGGUCCCUGCUAGGGAGGGUGAGGCCUUGGCGUGGAAAGUGAGAACAGAGCUGGUCCCUACUGAGGUGGACACUCUUCUUGCUCCCUGGGAGGGCACCGCGGGCCCAGGGCAGGCGCUGAGUCGCGUGUGCUCCUCUCUGAUUGCUGCGCAGGUCGGCCGGCUGGCGGAGCUGGGCGCGGCGUCAGGACGGGCCACCAGGCCGGGCUAGGAAGGUGUAGUGGGCCUCAGCGCCGCCAAGGGCGGUCCCGGCUCCUGUAACCGUUGCAGUCUUCUGUCCCUUCACCCAGGUGGGCAAACGCAGAGGCGGGAACAAACUAGCCCUCAAGACGGGAAUAGUAGCCAAGAAGCAGAAGACGGAGGAUGAGGUGAGCCAGCUUGGUGCAGGGGGUCCACCCACAUUGCCUUUCCCUUCCAGCUUUUGCGCCCAGCCUUCUCCCUCCCUGUCUGGUAUCCAGGCCUUUUAUGAGUGUGCCUGGCAGGGUAGGAGGGCUGUCAAUGGGUCCCCAGAUAACUUGACUUUAUAAUCUUCAGCUCAAACCCAGAGUCUUCUGGGUGACACUGGGAAUGGGUCACCUGUCUCAGGGCAGUCCUGACCCUGGUUCCUGGCACCCCCGUCCUAACCCGUAUCCCCUUUCCACAGGUAUUAACAAGUAAAGGUGACGCGUGGGCCAAGUACAUGGCAGAAGUGAAAAAGUACAAAGCUCACCAGUGCGGUGACGAUGAUAAAACUCGGCCCCUGGUGAAAUGACGCCCCUCCCCCACCUGCCCAUGGCCUGGGACUCUCUGCGAUGUACAUAACUAUUUAAUGCAGCGGCAGCGGCGACAGCCUUCCCUGAGAGGACUUAAAAGCAGAAGGAAACCGAGAUGCUUCCCGCAGCCGUGGACGAUUCUCCAGGACUCUUUUUUUACCUUGAGCACUUGCCUCGUGAGACUUCAUAGAACAGUGGUUUACUGUCCCCCCCUUCUCACCUCCUCAUUCUCUCUGGCUCUUUCUGUCUUCCUCUUCUCACCCUCCUCCCUCCCCUUAGCCAUCACUUCUGGGAAGUAAAGAACUUGACUU